This 211-nucleotide ribosomal RNA is filed under the name Enterobacter hormaechei. RNAcentral's name for it is "partial 23S ribosomal RNA". It matches the Rfam family "Bacterial large subunit ribosomal RNA", at positions 15 to 227 of the family's 2925-position model. The record is from RNAcentral. Lineage: Bacteria; Pseudomonadati; Pseudomonadota; Gammaproteobacteria; Enterobacterales; Enterobacteriaceae.
GCGUACACGGUGGAUGCCCUGGCAGUCAGAGGCGAUGAAGGACGUGCUAAUCUGCGAAAAGCGCCGGCGAGGUGAUAUGAACCUUUGACCCGGCGAUGUCCGAAUGGGGAAACCCAGUGUGUUUCGACACACUAUCGUUAACUGAAUACAUAGGUUAACGAGGCGAACCGGGGGAACUGAAACAUCUAAGUACCCCGAGGAAAAGAAAUCA